This 231-nucleotide long non-coding RNA is filed under the name Vigna radiata. Its description in RNAcentral is "long non-coding RNA (VRAD_LNC017072)". Lineage: Eukaryota; Viridiplantae; Streptophyta; Magnoliopsida; Fabales; Fabaceae. The record is from RNAcentral.
AUAAAUCGAACACGAUAAAAACUAUGUUUCAAACCUUUCAAGUAAUUAACCCAAAUCUUCUUUUUCUAAAGUUUGCUUAUUAUUUCACUAUUAUUGUCAUGUAGCACGGUCAUAACUUAAUAAAUGACGAUUUAUGUCUUUUAAAAAAUAAAAAAAUAGAAAAAAAUAAAAAAUAAAAAUAAAAAAUUUCACAAAUUAAUAUAUAAUAUUAAUAAAAACAACAAUAAUCUC